GGGGACUGCUGUGCACUGAGGAAUUCUGUCCCCUGCAAGAAGGUCAGCAGCAGUGCAAUGGAGAACCUACAGUGCAGACCUUCCAAUUCUUCAGGAGAAGUUCGAAGUCCAGAUUUGAAAGCCAAGCUCCUGAACAGGCACCAGCAGCCGAGCUGGGUAGCGGGGAUCCAGCUCUCCGCGGCCACCAUUGCAGACCAGGGGACUGAAGAAUCGGUGGGACCCUCUGAAGCUCCAAGGGGCACUGAGACUGUCCGUCUCCAGACCCCCUACAAAUAACCAGUCUGUUGGCCGGCUUGCUGCUCACCCCUGUUGACCAAAAUGGACCACUUCUGGAGCCAACACUGAGUCCAAUAGGUAACCAGCCCUUUGCCAUAAGCCAGUGUGUGGAUUUCACAGGAAAUUAAAAUGCAUGUGGAGUUUCUCUCCAGCUGUCCACACUCAGUGGUUUUAUGGUGUCUCUCUCCCACUAUCACUCCUGUAUGUUCAGGAUUUCUGCACCAUCUUCCGAAAGGCCAGGGUUGGAAGGGGCCCCUCCUCUAUAGUUAUCACAUACCAGCUUCCUUCUCUUACCAUCACUGCACCCCGUCCCCAUAAUCAUACAUAGCCUUCUUGUGGCCACACUUUGAAAAUAUGUCCCCCAACACCCUUCAUAGCUAUAUCCCAUUCUUUUUAUUUUUUUAUUUUUAAAGAUUUUAUUUAUUUAUUUGCCAGAGAGAGAGAGAGAGAGCACAGGCAGGCAGAGUGGCAGCAGAGGCAGAGGGAGAAGCAGGCUCCCCGCCAAGCAAGGAGCCCAAUGUGGGACUCGAUCCCAGGACGCUGGGAUCAUGACCUGAGCCCGAAGGCAGCCGCCUCACCAACUGAGCUACCCAGGAGUCCCCCAUUCUUGUUUUUAAAUUUAAUUUUAUUUCUUCAGUGUUACAAGAUUCAUUGUUUAUUCACCACACCCAGUGCUCCAUGAAAUACGUGCCCUCCAUAAUACCCACAUCCCAUUCUUAAGACAAAGUUAGCCCAUGUGAGGCCUUUAAUAAAACUGAAUUUCUAAAUUUGAACUUGCCAAUAGCAAGUUCACAAUAGUCCACAAUAGCCAAACUAUGGAAGGAGCCCAGAUGUCCAUGGACAGAUGAAUGGAUAAAGAUGAUGUGUUACACACACACACACACACACACACACACACAGAGAGGAAU
This 1184-nucleotide long non-coding RNA is filed under the name Mustela putorius furo (domestic ferret). RNAcentral's name for it is "lncRNA (ENSMPUG00000027764.1)". The record is from RNAcentral. Lineage: Eukaryota; Metazoa; Chordata; Mammalia; Carnivora; Mustelidae.